RNAcentral lists this ribosomal RNA (2932 nucleotides) under Escherichia coli. Its description in RNAcentral is "23S ribosomal RNA". It matches the Rfam family "Bacterial large subunit ribosomal RNA". The record is from RNAcentral. Lineage: Bacteria; Pseudomonadati; Pseudomonadota; Gammaproteobacteria; Enterobacterales; Enterobacteriaceae.
GGGUUGUGAGGUUAAGCGACUAAGCGUACACGGUGGAUGCCCUGGCAGUCAGAGGCGAUGAAGGACGUGCUAAUCUGCGAUAAGCGUCGGUAAGGUGAUAUGAACCGUUAUAACCGGCGAUUUCCGAAUGGGGAAACCCAGUGUGUUUCGACACACUAUCAUUAACUGAAUCCAUAGGUUAAUGAGGCGAACCGGGGGAACUGAAACAUCUAAGUACCCCGAGGAAAAGAAAUCAACCGAGAUUCCCCCAGUAGCGGCGAGCGAACGGGGAGCAGCCCAGAGCCUGAAUCAGUGUGUGUGUUAGUGGAAGCGUCUGGAAAGGCGCGCGAUACAGGGUGACAGCCCCGUACACAAAAAUGCACAUGCUGUGAGCUCGAUGAGUAGGGCGGGACACGUGGUAUCCUGUCUGAAUAUGGGGGGACCAUCCUCCAAGGCUAAAUACUCCUGACUGACCGAUAGUGAACCAGUACCGUGAGGGAAAGGCGAAAAGAACCCCGGCGAGGGGAGUGAAAAAGAACCUGAAACCGUGUACGUACAAGCAGUGGGAGCACGCUUAGGCGUGUGACUGCGUACCUUUUGUAUAAUGGGUCAGCGACUUAUAUUCUGUAGCAAGGUUAACCGAAUAGGGGAGCCGAAGGGAAACCGAGUCUUAACUGGGCGUUAAGUUGCAGGGUAUAGACCCGAAACCCGGUGAUCUAGCCAUGGGCAGGUUGAAGGUUGGGUAACACUAACUGGAGGACCGAACCGACUAAUGUUGAAAAAUUAGCGGAUGACUUGUGGCUGGGGGUGAAAGGCCAAUCAAACCGGGAGAUAGCUGGUUCUCCCCGAAAGCUAUUUAGGUAGCGCCUCGUGAAUUCAUCUCCGGGGGUAGAGCACUGUUUCGGCAAGGGGGUCAUCCCGACUUACCAACCCGAUGCAAACUGCGAAUACCGGAGAAUGUUAUCACGGGAGACACACGGCGGGUGCUAACGUCCGUCGUGAAGAGGGAAACAACCCAGACCGCCAGCUAAGGUCCCAAAGUCAUGGUUAAGUGGGAAACGAUGUGGGAAGGCCCAGACAGCCAGGAUGUUGGCUUAGAAGCAGCCAUCAUUUAAAGAAAGCGUAAUAGCUCACUGGUCGAGUCGGCCUGCGCGGAAGAUGUAACGGGGCUAAACCAUGCACCGAAGCUGCGGCAGCGACGCUGAUGCGUUGUUGGGUAGGGGAGCGUUCUGUAAGCCUGUGAAGGUGUGCUGUGAGGCAUGCUGGAGGUAUCAGAAGUGCGAAUGCUGACAUAAGUAACGAUAAAGCGGGUGAAAAGCCCGCUCGCCGGAAGACCAAGGGUUCCUGUCCAACGUUAAUCGGGGCAGGGUGAGUCGACCCCUAAGGCGAGGCCGAAAGGCGUAGUCGAUGGGAAACAGGUUAAUAUUCCUGUACUUGGUGUUACUGCGAAGGGGGGACGGAGAAGGCUAUGUUGGCCGGGCGACGGUUGUCCCGGUUUAAGCGUGUAGGCUGGUUUUCCAGGCAAAUCCGGAAAAUCAAGGCUGAGGCGUGAUGACGAGGCACUACGGUGCUGAAGCAACAAAUGCCCUGCUUCCAGGAAAAGCCUCUAAGCAUCAGGUAACAUCAAAUCGUACCCCAAACCGACACAGGUGGUCAGGUAGAGAAUACCAAGGCGCUUGAGAGAACUCGGGUGAAGGAACUAGGCAAAAUGGUGCCGUAACUUCGGGAGAAGGCACGCUGAUAUGUAGGUGAAGUCCCUCGCGGAUGGAGCUGAAAUCAGUCGAAGAUACCAGCUGGCUGCAACUGUUUAUUAAAAACACAGCACUGUGCAAACACGAAAGUGGACGUAUACGGUGUGACGCCUGCCCGGUGCCGGAAGGUUAAUUGAUGGGGUUAGCCGCAAGGCGAAGCUCUUGAUCGAAGCCCCGGUAAACGGCGGCCGUAACUAUAACGGUCCUAAGGUAGCGAAAUUCCUUGUCGGGUAAGUUCCGACCUGCACGAAUGGCGUAAUGAUGGCCAGGCUGUCUCCACCCGAGACUCAGUGAAAUUGAACUCGCUGUGAAGAUGCAGUGUACCCGCGGCAAGACGGAAAGACCCCGUGAACCUUUACUAUAGCUUGACACUGAACAUUGAGCCUUGAUGUGUAGGAUAGGUGGGAGGCUUUGAAGUGUGGACGCCAGUCUGCAUGGAGCCGACCUUGAAAUACCACCCUUUAAUGUUUGAUGUUCUAACGUUGACCCGUAAUCCGGGUUGCGGACAGUGUCUGGUGGGUAGUUUGACUGGGGCGGUCUCCUCCUAAAGAGUAACGGAGGAGCACGAAGGUUGGCUAAUCCUGGUCGGACAUCAGGAGGUUAGUGCAAUGGCAUAAGCCAGCUUGACUGCGAGCGUGACGGCGCGAGCAGGUGCGAAAGCAGGUCAUAGUGAUCCGGUGGUUCUGAAUGGAAGGGCCAUCGCUCAACGGAUAAAAGGUACUCCGGGGAUAACAGGCUGAUACCGCCCAAGAGUUCAUAUCGACGGCGGUGUUUGGCACCUCGAUGUCGGCUCAUCACAUCCUGGGGCUGAAGUAGGUCCCAAGGGUAUGGCUGUUCGCCAUUUAAAGUGGUACGCGAGCUGGGUUUAGAACGUCGUGAGACAGUUCGGUCCCUAUCUGCCGUGGGCGCUGGAGAACUGAGGGGGGCUGCUCCUAGUACGAGAGGACCGGAGUGGACGCAUCACUGGUGUUCGGGUUGUCAUGCCAAUGGCACUGCCCGGUAGCUAAAUGCGGAAGAGAUAAGUGCUGAAAGCAUCUAAGCACGAAACUUGCCCCGAGAUGAGUUCUCCCUGACCCUUUAAGGGUCCUGAAGGAACGUUGAAGACGACGACGUUGAUAGGCCGGGUGUGUAAGCGCAGCGAUGCGUUGAGCUAACCGGUACUAAUGAACCGUGAGGCUUAACCUUACAACGCCGAAGCUGUU